GUCUGAGUCCAUGGCCAGUGAAAAGAACAAGUGGCUCCUGUUUUCAACUUUAGGGGCUGAAUUCUGAAUGGCGCCACUUGCGUUGCCCUGCCUUGGGCUCUGGAAUAGGGGAAAUUAUAGGAAGGGAAGGGAAGAAAGCAAUCGUACCUGAAGAAGAGAGACAUUGGCAAGGCUGAGUCUGAAGAGGUAGUUCCUGUGAAAAUGGAAACAGACAUCCUAAGUGACGCUGGUUCUGCAGGCAGGACCCAGGGAGCAGCCUCCUGGCUUGGGCCUCCUGGGACGCCAGGACUGGGUGCUGAUUGCCUAGGGUCAACCCCUAAGGAGAGCUUUACCUCCAUUUGCUCACUUAAUCUUCACACAACCCUGGGAGGAAAUCCAGGAAGCUCCAAGUUACAGAUGAAGAAGCAAGGGGCCUGCAGCUGGCUGAGAUUGCGAGGUCAAGAGUCACCCCCACCCCCACCCAGCCGAAACACGCUUCCUCCUGUGGGGGGACAGACAUCCACAAGGAGAGGGCCCAGCAGAGAGGAUGGGGCCCAGCACGCGGGGCUGCCCAGGUAUUUUUCAGACCCUGCAUUCUGUUGGAUCUGCUGAUGCCACCCAGACUGAUAAACUGGUUCAUCUGACCUUGUGGCCCCCCGACCCAGGAACUGAACUCAGCACAAGAAGACAGGCUUCAACUCCCUGUGAUUUCAUCCACGACCUAACCAAUCAGUACUCUCCACUCCCUAGCCCCACUGCUCCCCAAAUUAUCCUUUAAAUUUUGGGGGAGGCUGCUUUGAAUAAUGAUAAACUCCUGUCCUUCUGCUUAGCUGGCUUUGCAUCUAUUAAGUUCUUUCUCUAUUGCAAAAACCCGCUGUUCUCAAUACAUUGGCUUUUCUGGACAGUGAGCAAGAUGAAUUCAUCGGGUGAUUAUAGAACUUCUAGGAAUCAAGAAGGAAAAGACUAACAAUCCAGUAGAAAAAUAGGCAAAGAAUAUACAUACAAACAAGGGCUUAAAAUAUGAAUGACACUUAUCCUCACUCAUAACAAGAGCAACACAAGUUAAAACAUAGACUGAGAUACCACUUCUCAUCUAUGGGUUUAGCAAAAAUCCAAGUUACUUGCUGCAGUCUUCCGGUGAAGCAGUGGGGAGAGGGCCACUACCAUAUACUACUGUAGGGGUUGGGGUGUGCAAGAUGGCACAAUCCCUGUGGGGUGAUCCUGGCAAUAUCUGGCAAAACCACCCAUGUAUUUACCCGUUGACCUAGCAACCUAAUUCUUUGAGUCUACACUCUUUCUCCUUGAAGUGUGUUCCACAAACCAGUGUCAAUUCACACACUGGAACAACUCCACAGUCACAGAAAUGCAGAGAUUUGAGAGUCAGUGUUUAAAAAUCUUUACAAUAAUUUGACAGAGUAAUUUUAUGUGUAUUGAAUCUAAUAACAAAAUAUUCAGGUUUGUAUGUUGCAUGUUUUAUUUCAAUUCAUUUCUCUAGUAAUUUACUUUUAUUGAAUUUUACGUAAGUAUCCAUCUGUGACAGAUUGUAAAUUGAAAAAUCAAACCUGCCUCUUCACAGAUAGUUGAGAGGCAAAAACAGACCACAGAGGCACCUGCACAUGUGCAAAGUGACUUACGAAUGAGAUUGUUCAUUGUGCCAUCCUUUGAAAGAACAGAAAGGCAGAAAACAACCAAAUAUUCAGAAACAGGAGAUUGCCCAAAUAACCUAGGGUGUAUCUUCACAAUGGAAUAUUAUGCAGCUGUUAAAAAGUGUGAAGAUUUUCUCUAUUUAUUUUAUUUUAUUUUUAGAGAGACAGGGUCUUGCUCUGUCUCCCAGGUUGGAAUGCAGUGGCACGAUCAUGGCUCACUGCAGUCUUGACCUCCUGGACUCAAGCGAUCCUUCCAGCUCAGCCUCUCUAGUGGUUGGGACCACAGGCAUGCACCAUCAUGCCUGGCUAGAGGGGCAUGCUCUGUUGUAAGUGGAGGGGUCUUGUUCUGCUGCCCAGGCUUUCUGUAGGUUUUGAUAUGGAAAAAUAUCCGUAUCAAAAAAGUGAAAAAAGCAAGAUGCAGAACAGCUUAUUAGCAUGGUAACUUUUGUGAAAAUAAGACAGUAAAAAUAAGAACACAUGUAUUUAUAUUUGCUUAUAUUAGCAUUGAUAUACACUAGAAAAAUAAAACAAAACUAAUCUUUGUAGGUUAUCUAUAAGUAGCAAAAUGGGAAUCAAGGCUUCUCAGUAAAUACCUUUUUAUAUUAUUUUCAUUUGUGACCAGGUAAACAUAUUGGCUACUCAAUAAAGUUUUAAGAUUUAAGAAACUUUUAAACAACUAGUUUGGGUUCACUAAAACUCCUGGAAAAGCCCUAACAUUUGUCUAACUUGUCGCCUUCCACCUCCUCUCUCCUUCGCUAGUCUGUCUAACAUGUCACCAAGCCCCGCUGACCCUACGUCUCGCAAAGGUCUCUAACCCAGAGUGACCUCCUUGGUGUCAUUUUCUUCAGCAAUGAAAUGAAAGGUUGAACUAGAUUAGGGAUCCCUGACAGGAGCUGGGGUGAAUCAGAAUCAUCCCCCUGAGGGGGCAGAGUCCUGGG
This 2563-nucleotide long non-coding RNA is filed under the name Homo sapiens (human). RNAcentral's name for it is "HSALNT0059643". Lineage: Eukaryota; Metazoa; Chordata; Mammalia; Primates; Hominidae. The record is from RNAcentral.